GAUGACCCAAUCUUUGAACUUCCUUCUUGGUUUGACUCAACCACCGGCCGAUUCGACGACGAUCUUACAGAUGAGUUAAUUAAACCGGGGAUCUUACCGGUCAACUUCUUCUCAGGAAAAGAUGCCCCUACAUAUGAAUUCUACAACCCCUCUGUUGCAGCGCGGCAAUUUAGCAUGGGUCAACUGCCGAUUCAGGCAUACUUUGUCGGCUGAGCAAAGUUCAGAGACGAGCUCACCAAGGGCCUU
RNAcentral lists this long non-coding RNA (246 nucleotides) under Setaria italica (foxtail millet). RNAcentral describes it as "long non-coding RNA (SITA_LNC003702)". Lineage: Eukaryota; Viridiplantae; Streptophyta; Magnoliopsida; Poales; Poaceae. The record is from RNAcentral.